This is a non-coding RNA of Styela clava, 4709 nucleotides long. The record is from RefSeq and is a predicted model, not a curated record. Lineage: Eukaryota; Metazoa; Chordata; Ascidiacea; Stolidobranchia; Styelidae.
UUGUUUAAAUUUAUGGAUCUUUUGUACAAAGCCCCGUCACUUAUGCCAAAAUGUGAGAUUUGAGAGAAAAAGACCCCGCCACGUCACGUUUUAAAAACUGGGGUUACUAAUUUUCUUAUUUUGAGUGUUGACGGGGUGCUUUUUUGCGGGGGAUUUGUACAAAAUAUCCAAAUUUAUUCAUAGUUCGGCCCAUGCAAUUAAAUAUUGGAUUGUUUACUUUCUAUAAGUAUGUAAUCUGCCAUUUAUGUAAAACCUACCACGAUAGUUCUAUAAUAUGAGGUUCUUGGUAAUUUUAUUCGCUGUCUAACAUAUAAGAGAAUCAUAGAAAUUUAUAGUACCAAUUGAUUUAAAAAUCAAUUUUCGAAGAAAAUAUUCGAAACCACGUUGGAAACUACUCAAAAUAGAGCAGUUAUUCAAGAUGACGCUCAAACCGAAUACAAUGAAGAAAUCCAACAUAUUUUCCUAUAUCACUUUCUGGUGGUUGAACGAUUUAUUUGCUGAAGGACGCAACCGCACGCUACAAGAAGCCGAUAUGUAUGAACUAGAUCCAAGUGAUCGCUCAGAAGAAAUAUGUAAUAAGCUGGAAAAACACUGGGAAUCAGAAAAAGAAAAACCUGGGAAAACAGGAAAACCGAGUUUACUUCGCGCAAUUACGAAAACUUACGGAAACAAAUUCAUGGUAUUAGGAACACUUGGACUAUUUACGGAAAUUCUACGAAUGGCAAUCCCAAUCUUCAUUAUACAACUCAUUCGAUACUUCGAAAAUAAAGACACAUCUCCAACAUGGCACGGAUACGCAUAUGCCGCGGCAAUUACUUUUUCAUCUAUUAUACUGCCUUUGGUUUACCACUUGUAUUUUUAUCAGAUGCAGAGGAUUGGUUGGCACAUUAGGGCAUCCACUUGUGCAUUAAUGUACAAAAAGACAUUGCGUUUGAGUAGACGGUCCCUCCAGCAGACGAGCACAGGUCAAAUAAUAAACCUUGGAUCCUCUGAUGUCGCGCGAUUUGAUUUUUUGCCAAUAUUUUUACAUUAUCUAUGGAUGGGACCACUAGAAUGUAUUGCAGUAUGGUACAUUCUCUGGCAAGAAGUAGGCAUGGCGUUGUUAGCGGGAAUAGGAGUAUUUUUGUUGAUAACAAUAACUCAAAUUUCGAUUGGACGUCAGUUUGGUAAAUUAAGGAGUGCAACAGCAGUUUUGACCGAUAAACGAAUUCGCCUCACGAAUGAAGUAAUUACUGGAAUAAGAACAAUCAAGAUGCAUGCGUGGGAAGAACCUUUUGCAAAACUUGUAGAAGAUGCAAGAAGGACCGAGGUGAUGAAGAUAAUUCAGUCCUCUUCAAUGAAAGCGUUUAAUUCCUGCAUAUACUUUUGUCAAGAAAAACUAACGACGUUUGCCAUUUUACUAACUUUCGUAGCAAUGGGAGGAACAAUUACAGCCUCAAAAGUAUUUUCUAUUGUUGGGUUAUUGAACGCUUUGAGAUUAUCGACCGGAAUGUUCAUCUCUUUGGCUAUUGAGCAUACUUUUUCAUCCAUUGUAUCCUGUAAACGUAUUCAGAAAUACUUGAUUCUUGAAGAAUAUGAUACGGAGCAGAACAAGGAUGCAAACGAAUCAAGUUGUCAACCAUUUGUUAAAUUACAGAAUUUUUCUGCUAUGUGGGAAACGGAUAAACCUCAUAGAAAAAAGACGUUACAAUAUAUAUCUGCCGAUAUCAAGAAUGGUGAAUUGAUCGCGGUAAUCGGUUCCGUCGGGUCUGGUAAAUCCUCUUUGCUAAGCGCACUGACUGGAGAACUAUCCGCAUUAGAUGGUACCAAAAAGAUCAAAGGAAAAAUCUCGUACGUCGAUCAACUGCCUUGGAUAUUUUCUGGAACCAUCAGGGAGAAUAUUUUAUUCGGAAGUGAAUAUGAUUCAAAAUGGUACACUCAAGUAAUUACUGCAUGCAGUUUAUCCCAGGAUUUGAACGUACUAAAAGAUGGCGAUUUGACACCGGUUGGGGAACGAGGCUUGACACUGAGUGGAGGACAGAAAGCACGAGUUGCACUUGCAAGAGCUGUAUAUCGGAAAGAUGCAGAUAUAUUUCUGAUGGAUGACACAUUAAGUUCCGUUGAUACAGCUGUUGCUAAUCAUAUAUUUCACCAUUGCAUAAACGGGCUAUUAUUGAAAAAAAUCAGAAUACUCGUUACGAAUCAAAUGUCAUUUUUGAAGGAUUGUGGCCGAAUUAUGGCGCUGAAAGAGGGACGGGUUGUUGGUUUUGGAAGUUAUGAAGAACUUCUUGAUAGUGGUUUCGAUUUGGUAACAUUUCUUAAUAAGAAUGAUGAAGCCAAUAAGACUGACCAGUCUUUUCGUUUAGGCAGUAGAACUGUUGAACAUACAUUCAAUACAGAAUCAGAUACACGGCAAUCUGCGUAUUAUAUUGAUAAGCUGAAAACUGCGACAUCUACCGAAUCUACAACGAGCAACGAAUAUUUGAGUGUUGGGAACAAGGAAGAAGUCCGCGCGCAAGGGAGUGUGAAACGUAGAGUUUAUCUAAAUUAUUUUAGAUUGGGAGCAAACACAAUUUUCAUGGUGACAAUGAUUAUUGUAUCUUUGGCGAGUCACGUGUUAUACAUUAUGAAUGAUUGGUGGUUGGCAGAAUGGUCACAAGGAUUUGAAAAUCACAUAAAAAAAAGUUCAAAUUCAAAUUCACUUCCCAAACCUACUGAACUGUUUACACUGGAAGAAGAUGGCAGCGGGUCAUCCGUAAUCUCCAACAGGACAAUAUUUUCUGCCAAUACUAUCGACGAAAAAUCAACAGAAUUUGAUACGAAAUUUUAUCGCAAUAUUUACAUUAUUAUCACCGUUUCCAUGUUUAUCAUCAUUUUACUGCGGGCCAACAUGCAUUUUUACUUUUGCAUUUCCUCCGGAAUUCGCAUGCAUGCAAAGAUGUUUAAUGCAAUUCUGAAAUCACCUUCCAGAUUUUUUGACAUCAAUCCAGCAGGAGGAAUUCUUAACAGGUUUUCCAAAGAUAUGUGUGAAAUAGAUGAGUUCUUGCCUCCAAGAUUUUGGGAUUUUCUCUUUAUAACUGGGUUUAUUGUGAGCGUGAUCAUCUUGACAGCUGUCACAAACUAUUUUGUCGUUUUUAUCGUUAUCCCACUUGGUGCAUACUUUGUGUGGCUGAGAAAAUAUUAUCUGCAUACAUCAAGAGAUAUAAAAAGGUUGGAAGGAACCACAAGAAGUCCGAUCUUCUGUCACCUGUCUUCAACUUUACAAGGAUUACCGACAGUGAGAGCGUUCAGGGUCGAGAAACAAUUCAAGGAAAAAUAUCAUCAAAACCAAAAUUUACACAGUGCGUCGUGGUUUUUGUUUCUUACUAGCUCACAUUGGUUCGGGCUGAGGUUGGACCUCAUAACUGCGAUUUUCAUCUCUGCUGUCGCAUUUCUGUGUGUUGUUUGUGCGUCGCUACUAAAUCUAACACCAGGUGAAGUUGGUCUGAUAUUAACGUUUUCAGCUGGAAUGGUGACUCUCUUGCAAUGGGGAGUGAGACAAAGUGCUGAAGUAGAAAAUCUUAUGACUUCUGUCGAGAGAAUUCAACAAUAUUACAGAUUACCUUCUGAAGCCGCUAGUGAAAUCGAAGCCACAAAGCCACCUGCUGACUGGCCAUUUUGUGGACGGAUACAAUUCAAUAAAGUGUCAUUUUCAUAUUUUAAAAACGGCCCAAAUGUGCUCAAAGAGGUCUGCUUGAGAAUAAAACCAAAUGAAAAAAUUGGAGUGGUUGGCCGCACAGGUGCAGGAAAAACUUCUCUCGUAGCCGCCUUGUUCAGGUUGAAUGAAUUAGAGAAUGGAGAAAUAUAUAUUGACGGAAUCCCAAUCAGUACUUUGGGACUUAAAGAUUUGCGAGUUGCAAUAUCAGUAAUUCCGCAGGAUCCUAUAUUAUUUGCGGGUACUAUGAGAAGAAAUAUUGAUCCUUUUGAUAUUUAUACCGAUGACAAGUUAUGGGAGGCGUUGGCAAAGGUUCAACUUGCAGAUUUUGUGAAAUCUCUAUCGUUACAACUAAAUACAGAAAUGGCAGAAACAGGAUCAAAUUUCAGUGUUGGACAGAGACAACUGAUUUGUUUUGCAAGAGCAAUCUUGGCAAAAACUAAAAUACUUGUAGGCCUAAUUGAUGAAGCAACUGCAAAUGUAGAUAUGAGGACGGACCAGUUGAUUCAGUCAACCAUUCGGGAGGAAUUCAAACACUCCACUGUGAUAACCAUUGCUCAUCGUAUCAAUACAGUUAUUGAUUCAGAUAGAAUUUUAGUAAGUAGCGCUAUAUAAUUAGGAUAUGCUUUACAUAUAUUUUUGCGGGGAGAGUAAAGGCGAUAAAACGUCUUAUUAGUAUGGAGAACCACGGCCUCUCGUCCGGUUACGAAUCCAUGUCGGGUAUGGGAUUAGUUAGCCAGUUAUUUGUUUUCAGAUGCUUGAUGAUGACGGUAAGCCGACGACGAAUAAGCCGUAACCGACUAACGGUUACGUGAACUACCCCAGGGCGGCGAGGAGUCCAGAAAUCCUCUCGCACAUAUUUAUCCCCGCAUUGGAUUCGAACCUGCGAACCCAUACAGAGUAAUCAGAGGUACUGGGCGGAGGAUUAGUUAAAGAAUUUGACGAACCUUAUAAACUGCUUCAAAACAAGAACGGGCAUUUUGCUAAUAUCAUCAAAACAAUUGGGUGCCAGGAAGCUAAAAUAUUGGAAUCAGAG